GGGAUCGGAGAAAGCGGGUGCUUCAGAUGAGUUUUCAUCAGGCCUGGACCUAAAAAUUAGGGUCAGAUGAAGCAGUCACUAGCUUAAAUAGUCCAGAUGGACAGCAGUUAAGGAUUAGGAAAGUAGAUACCAAAUUGUGAUCAAGGGUCAGUCUGUGUCUUCAAAGGUUCCUGCUGUAUUUGCUAAAAAAAUACAGUUUAAAUCCCAGAUUCCAUCCCUUCCUGUCGGCCUUCCAUCCCAGGAGCACACUGGCCUUCAUGCCAUCCGGGAGGUUUGAGAAACAAUAUUUUAACCUACAUGCAAAACUAAAUGGACAACUUGGAAAAGUAAGAACUUGCUUCAGUGUUUAUGUGCUCAAUUCUUCAGGGUUACCAGGAGGAUAGGGACUGGUCCGCUUCCUCUCUUGCCCCUGCCUGCUGCUGCUCAUGCCUGAAGCUGAAGGAGAUACACAGAUAUGGAUACAGGACCAGGUCUUGCUAACCUUGGCGUCUCAUCUUUGCCCGUGAUCAUUGUGAAGGACUGAUCAUGAUAUUUGUGUUUCUGGAUCUCACUAUAUCAGAGCUGGACCCCAGGACUUCAUAGUCAAGUAAACCAAUAAAUCCCUUCUUUGCUUAAACUAAUUGAU
RNAcentral lists this long non-coding RNA (625 nucleotides) under Felis catus (domestic cat). RNAcentral's name for it is "lncRNA (ENSFCAG00000046744.2)". Lineage: Eukaryota; Metazoa; Chordata; Mammalia; Carnivora; Felidae. The record is from RNAcentral.